GGAUGCGCUUGACUUCAUGGGACCCAAUGGAAAAACAAAAGCAUGUGCGGCGCACAAAUCCCACGCGGUCCACAAGACAGGGGAGCGGUUCAUAGCAACACCGUGCGACUUUUGGCGCGGUCUACAUGAAAUUCGAUGGAGUCCACCUAGCAGAAAAAAAAAGAGUGCAUGACUUUUGGGCUUCCACGGGCUUCCAUGGGCACGCACGUGGGGGC
This 215-nucleotide long non-coding RNA is filed under the name Elaeis guineensis (African oil palm). RNAcentral's name for it is "long non-coding RNA (EGUI_LNC022831)". Lineage: Eukaryota; Viridiplantae; Streptophyta; Magnoliopsida; Arecales; Arecaceae. The record is from RNAcentral.